This 253-nucleotide ribosomal RNA is filed under the name uncultured bacterium. Its description in RNAcentral is "partial 16S ribosomal RNA". It matches the Rfam family "Bacterial small subunit ribosomal RNA", at positions 524 to 776 of the family's 1533-position model. The record is from RNAcentral.
UACGUAGGAUCCAAGCGUUGUCCGGAUUUACUGGGCGUAAAGAGCGUGUAGGCGGCCAAGCAGGUCCGUUGUGAAAACUGGAGGCUUAACCUCCAGACGUCGACGGAAACCGCGUGGCUAGAGUCCGGAAGAGGAGAGUGGAAUUCCUGGUGUAGCGGUGAAAUGCGCAGAUAUCAGGAAGAACACCAAUGGCGAAGGCAGCUCUCUGGGACGGUACUGACGCUGAGACGCGAAAGCGUGGGGAGCGAACAGG